GCUGUCCCCCGCGCUGCCUGAGCUCCAGGCCCGACGCCAUCUUGUGGCGGCUCCGGGUUUCCGCUCAGGCAAGUGCGAGAGCGACUAAAGGGCCUGGGACCCCGGGGCCCUGUUCGGACAGCCCCGCCGGCCCGGGACCUCGCCGCCGGGUAUCCCCGCAGUGUGGCUCCACUUCACGGCAGGGUGCAGUGUGGCGACUUGACUCCACCCGUCGCUCACCUGAUGCUUUCGUAGCCGCGUUCCUCUCCGACUCCGGCAUCGACGAAGUCGCCAUCCUCUUUCCCCCGCUGCGGAGGGACCCAUCGGCCUUCCGUAGGCCGGGACUACUUCCUACGCCGGCCCGGAGAAAGACAGGCUUCCAGUGUGCCGGAAGGUGGCCCCGAGGUCUCAAAACCAUACUAGAGUUCUCAGAGAAUAUAGGAUUUUACAUGUCUCCUAGUAUGGGUGACGGAGUCCUCUAUGGGUUGGGAGCUACUUUCUCUCCGGCGGAGGAAUACAUAGGAGUGGCUACGUGACGUCACUGCUGGAUCCCUUCCCUGGGCCGCAGGGCUGGGCGCGGCUCAGGCUGGCCCCACGUCCGGGGGCGUGGCUCCCAGUGGCCUGACCACGCCCUUCCCGGAACAGCUCAGAAAAGCCACCGAGCAGCUUUUGGGAUCUCCGUUCCCCAGUUAGGGGAUCCAACCUGGGGCCCAGGAGUGACAGUGCUGAGUCCUAUCUACUGGACCACCAGGGAAUUCCCAUAACCUCCACACUUUCUGAUUGCUGUACUAUUUCUGUAGUAUUUUUCAUCUAGUUAUAAUAAUACUACCUGAUUCAUAUAUAUAUAUAUAUA
Balaenoptera ricei (Rice's whale) is the source of this 832-nucleotide long non-coding RNA. RefSeq lists it as uncharacterized. The transcript is spliced from 2 exons. NCBI's taxonomy places the organism in Eukaryota, Metazoa, Chordata, Mammalia, Artiodactyla, Balaenopteridae. The record is from RefSeq and is a predicted model, not a curated record.